This 29-nucleotide small RNA is filed under the name Bombyx mori (domestic silkworm). RNAcentral describes it as "ovarian small RNA-19810". Lineage: Eukaryota; Metazoa; Arthropoda; Insecta; Lepidoptera; Bombycidae. The record is from RNAcentral.
UAAUGGUGAAUUUUUCCUGGAAUCCAGAA